Molecule: ribosomal RNA, 261 nt
Filed under: uncultured bacterium
Lineage: Bacteria
Description: partial small subunit ribosomal RNA
Rfam family: Bacterial small subunit ribosomal RNA
Source: RNAcentral
GGGACGAACGCUGGCGGCGUGCUUAACACAUGCAAGUCGAGCGAGGCCCCUUCCUUCGGGAGGGGAGCCCUAGCGGCGAACGGGUGAGUAACACGUGGGCAAUCUGCCCCUAGCACUGGGAUAACUCCGGGAAACCGGGGCUAAUACCGGAUAUGACCUCCGAGGGCAUCCUCUGGAGGUGGAAAGGAUUCUGGCUAGGGAUGAGCCCGCGGCCUAUCAGCUAGUUGGUGGGGUAAUGGCCCACCAAGGCGACGACGGGUA